CGGACGGGUGAGUAAUGUCUGGGAAACUGCCUGAUGGAGGGGGAUAACUACUGGAAACGGUAGCUAAUACCGCAUAACGUCGCAAGACCAAAGAGGGGGACCUUACGGGCCUCUUGCCAUCGGAUGUGCCCAGAUGGGAUUAGCUAGUAGGUGGGGUAACGGCUCACCUAGGCGACGAUCCCUAGCUGUCUGAGAGGAUGACCAGCCACACUGGAACUGAGACACGGUCCAG
Molecule: ribosomal RNA, 232 nt
Filed under: uncultured bacterium
Lineage: Bacteria
Description: partial 16S ribosomal RNA
Rfam family: Bacterial small subunit ribosomal RNA
Source: RNAcentral